Molecule: ribosomal RNA, 492 nt
Filed under: uncultured bacterium
Lineage: Bacteria
Description: partial 16S ribosomal RNA
Rfam family: Bacterial small subunit ribosomal RNA
Source: RNAcentral
AGUGAACGCUGGCGGUAGGCCUAACACAUGCAAGUCGAACGGCAGCACAGUAAGAGCUUGCUCUUACGGGUGGCGAGUGGCGGACGGGUGAGGAAUACAUCGGAAUCUACUUUUUCGUGGGGGAUAACGUAGGGAAACUUACGCUAAUACCGCAUACGACCUACGGGUGAAAGCAGGGGAUCUUCGGACCUUGCGCGAUUGAAUGAGCCGAUGUCGGAUUAGCUAGUUGGCGGGGUAAAGGCCCACCAAGGCGACGAUCCGUAGCUGGUCUGAGAGGAUGAUCAGCCACACUGGAACUGAGACACGGUCCAGACUCCUACGGGAGGCAGCAGUGGGGAAUAUUGGGCAAUGGGCGCAAGCCUGAUCCAGCCAUACCGCGUGGGUGAAGAAGGCCUUCGGGUUGUAAAGCCCUUUUGUUGGGAAAGAAAAGCAGCAGGCUAAUACCCCGCUGUUCUGACGGUACCCAAAGAAUAAGCACCGGCUAACUUCGUG